CGUGGCUUAACCAGCAAUGGAAAGAGCGGUCGAAGGUGUGGGGAGUGAGGGGGACGAAGUCGUAACAAGGUAGCCGUAUCGGAAGGUGCGGCUGGAUCACCUCCUUU
Molecule: ribosomal RNA, 107 nt
Filed under: Armatimonadota bacterium
Lineage: Bacteria; Bacillati; Armatimonadota
Description: partial 16S ribosomal RNA
Rfam family: Bacterial small subunit ribosomal RNA
Source: RNAcentral